GAUGAACGCUGGCGGCGUGCUUAACACAUGCAAGUCGAACGGUGAAGGCGGAGCUUGCUCUGCUGGAUCAGUGGCGAACGGGUGAGUAACACGUGAGCAAUCUGCCCCUGACUCUGGGAUAAGCGCUGGAAACGGCGUCUAAUACUGGAUACGAGCUGCGAAGGCAUCUUCAGCAGCUGGAAAGAACUUCGGUCAGGGAUGAGCUCGCGGCCUAUCAGCUUGUUGGUGAGGUAACGGCUCACCAAGGCGUCGACGGGUAGCCGGCCUGAGAGGGUGACCGGCCACACUGGGACUGAGACACGGCCCAGACUCCUACGGGAGGCAGCAGUGGGGAUUAUUGCACAAUGGGCGAAAGCCUGAUGCAGCAACGCCGCGUGAGGGACGACGGCCUUCGGGUUGUAAACCUCUUUUAGCAGGGAAGAAGCGAAAGUGACGGUACCUGCAGAAAAAGCGCCGGCUAACUACGUG
RNAcentral lists this ribosomal RNA (468 nucleotides) under uncultured bacterium. RNAcentral's name for it is "partial 16S ribosomal RNA". It matches the Rfam family "Bacterial small subunit ribosomal RNA", at positions 28 to 507 of the family's 1533-position model. The record is from RNAcentral.